This 633-nucleotide long non-coding RNA is filed under the name Pelobates cultripes (western spadefoot toad). Lineage: Eukaryota; Metazoa; Chordata; Amphibia; Anura; Pelobatidae. The record is from RNAcentral.
AAUGAUUGACAGGGAGCUAAGAUGGAGGUGGCUCUCUCUAUACUGACUGCCAGGUGUAAAGGGCGGAGCUUAUAACAAUGAUUGACAGGGAGCUAAGAUGGAGGUGGCUCUCUCUAUACUGACUGCCAGGUGUAAAGGGCGGAGCUUAUAACAAUGAUUGACAGGGAGCUAAGAUGGAGGUGUCUCUCUCUAUACUGACUGCCAGGUGUAAAGGGCGGAGCUUAUAACAAUGAUUGACAGGGAGCUAAGAUGGAGGCGGCUCUCUCUAUACUGACUGCCAGGUGUAAAGGGCGGAGCUUAUAACAAUGAUUGACAGGGAGCUAAGAUGGAGGUGGCUCUCUAUACUGACUGCCAGGUGUAAAGGGCGGAGCUUAUAACAAUGAUUGACAGGGAGCUAAGAUGGAGGCGGCUCUCUCUAUACUGACUGCCAGGUGUAAAGGGCGGAGCUUAUAACAAUGAUUGACAGGGAGCUAAGAUGGAGGCGGCUCUCUCUAUACUGACUGCCAGGUGUAAAGGGCGGAGCUUAUAACAAUGAUUGACAGGGAGCUAAGAUGGAGGUUGCUCUCUCUAUACUGACUGCCAGGUGUAAAGGGCGGAGCUUAUAACAAUGAUUGACAGGGAGCUAAGAUGGAG